GGCUCAGAUUGAACGCUGGCGGCAUGCCUUACACAUGCAAGUCGAACGGUAACAGGUCUUCGGAUGCUGACGAGUGGCGAACGGGUGAGUAAUACAUCGGAACGUGCCCGAGAGUGGGGGAUAACGGAGCGAAAGCUUUGCUAAUACCGCAUACGAUCUCAGGAUGAAAGCAGGGGACCGCAAGGCCUUGCGCUCACGGAGCGGCCGAUGGCAGAUUAGGUAGUUGGUGGGAUAAAAGCUUACCAAGCCGACGAUCUGUAGCUGGUCUGAGAGGACGACCAGCCACACUGGGACUGAGACACGGCCCAGACUCCUACGGGAGGCAGCAGUGGGGAAUUUUGGACAAUGGGCGCAAGCCUGAUCCAGCCAUGCCGCGUGCAGGAUGAAGGCCUUCGGGUUGUAAACUGCUUUUGUACGGAACGAAACGGCUCUUUCUAAUAAAGAGGGCUAAUGACGGUACCGUAAGAUAGA
This 471-nucleotide ribosomal RNA is filed under the name Acidovorax sp. BAS309i. RNAcentral describes it as "bacterial SSU rRNA". It matches the Rfam family "Bacterial small subunit ribosomal RNA", at positions 21 to 489 of the family's 1533-position model. Lineage: Bacteria; Pseudomonadati; Pseudomonadota; Betaproteobacteria; Burkholderiales; Comamonadaceae. The record is from RNAcentral.